Molecule: ribosomal RNA, 381 nt
Filed under: uncultured marine Chaetocerotaceae
Lineage: Eukaryota; Bacillariophyta; Thalassiosirophyceae; Chaetocerotales; Chaetocerotaceae
Description: SSU rRNA
Rfam family: Eukaryotic small subunit ribosomal RNA
Source: RNAcentral
AGCUCCAAUAGCGUAUAUUAAAGUUGCUGCAGUUAAAAAGCUCGUAGUUGCAUUUCCGAGGCAAGGGAUUAGUCCGACCUUUGGUGGGUAUUUAAUCCUCUUGCCUCGUCCUUGAGUGGUGCUUCUUGGUAUUAAGUUAUCGAGGAGAUAGCCGCUCAUCGUUUACUGUGAGAAAAUUAGAGUGUUCAAAGCAGGCUUAUGCCGUUGAAUAUAUUAGCAUGGAAUAAUAAGAUAGGACCUCGGUACUAUUUUGUUGGUUUGAGAACCAAGGUAAUGAUGAAUAGGGACAGGUGGGGGUAUUCGUAUUCAGUUGUCAGAGGUGAAAUUCUUAGAUUUACGGAAGACGAACUACUGCGAAAGCAUUUACCAAGGAUGUUUGCA